CUUUUCUUGUUAAUUUUAUGAAGUAUAACCUGCCCAAUGAAUAAUUAAAUGGCCGCGGUAUUAUGACCGUGCAAAGGUAGCAUAAUCAAUAGUCUUUUAAUUGAAGGCUGGAAUGAAUGGUUGGACGAAAUAAUUACUGUCUUAGAAUUAUUAAAUUAGAAUUUAAUUAUUAAGUUAAAAAGCUUAAAUUUUUUUUUGGGACGAGAAGACCCUAUAGAGUUUAAUAUUAAUAAGAUUUAUAAGUUGUUAUUUAAUAUAAUAAAUUAUAUUAAUAUUUAGUUGGGGUGACUAGAAGAUAAAAAUAACUCUUUAAUAAUCAUAUAUAAAUUACUUAAUUUAUUAAUGAUCCAAUAUUAUUGAUUAUAAGACUAAAUUACCUUAGGGAUAACAGCGUAAUUUUCUUUAAGAGUUCAAAUCAACAAGGAAGUUUGCGA
RNAcentral lists this ribosomal RNA (434 nucleotides) under Schultesia lampyridiformis. Its description in RNAcentral is "partial 16S ribosomal RNA". It matches the Rfam family "Bacterial large subunit ribosomal RNA", at positions 1831 to 2523 of the family's 2925-position model. The record is from RNAcentral. Lineage: Eukaryota; Metazoa; Arthropoda; Insecta; Blattodea; Blaberidae.